This 71-nucleotide transfer RNA is filed under the name Loxodonta africana (African savanna elephant). It matches the Rfam family "tRNA". Rfam says of the family: Transfer RNA (tRNA) molecules are approximately 80 nucleotides in length. Their secondary structure includes four short double-helical elements and three loops (D, anti-codon, and T loops). Lineage: Eukaryota; Metazoa; Chordata; Mammalia; Proboscidea; Elephantidae. The record is from Rfam by way of RNAcentral.
AUGUUGAUGGUUCAGUGGUAGAAUUUUUGCCUCCCGUGCAGAAGAUCUGAGUCCCAUUCCCAGUCAAUGCA